GAUGAACGCUGGCGGCGUGCCUAAUACAUGCAAGUCGAGCGAACGGACGAGAAGCUUGCUUUUCUGAUGUUAGCGGCGGACGGGUGAGUAACACGUGGAUAACCUACCUAUAAGACUGGGAUAACUUCGGGAAACCGGAGCUAAUACCGGAUAAUAUUUUGAACCGCAUGGUUCAAAAGUGAAAGACGGUCUUGCUGUCACUUAUAGAUGGAUCCGCGCUGCAUUAGCUAGUUGGUAAGGUAACGGCUUACCAAGGCAACGAUGCAUAGCCGACCUGAGCGGGUGAUCGGCCACACUGGAACUGAGACACGGUCCAGACUCCUACGGGAGGCAGCAGUAGGGAAUCUUCCGCAAAGGGCGAAAGCCUGACGGAGCAACGCCGCGUGAGUGAUGAAGGUCUUCGGAUCGUAAAACUCUGUUAUUAGGGAAGAACAUAUGUGUAAGUAACUGUGCACAUCUUGACGGUACCUAAUCAGAAAGCCACGGCUAACUACGUG
Molecule: ribosomal RNA, 497 nt
Filed under: uncultured bacterium
Lineage: Bacteria
Description: partial 16S ribosomal RNA
Rfam family: Bacterial small subunit ribosomal RNA
Source: RNAcentral